This 691-nucleotide long non-coding RNA is filed under the name Callithrix jacchus (white-tufted-ear marmoset). RNAcentral's name for it is "lncRNA (ENSCJAG00000072747.1)". The record is from RNAcentral. Lineage: Eukaryota; Metazoa; Chordata; Mammalia; Primates; Cebidae.
AGGCUGGAUUUGAAGGACUCCGAGCCUGGCCCUGUCCAGACCGCAGUUUUCUAAAGUGACUUUGCAGCAAAGUCCGGUAGAAUUGCUAAGUUUGGGGGGAGGGGGUUGUGGGGCCUGCUUCGUCCUUUCCGGCUACCAGCCCCUCAUUCGCUCCAUCACCUAAAGUGUUAAAAAAAAAAAAAGCUCUUGGGUCCCACGGUAAGAGCGCAUAAAGAGAGGAGGUACAAUGACCGUCCUUUGCCAUUGUAGGGCUCCCUAAUUUAUGCAUCUUUAGAUCCUUAAGCAUCAUUUUGUGGGCAACCAAACGGGCACUUCCAAAUUAGCUCGAAGUAUCCAAGCCCAGAGAAGAGAGAAAACACACAUACACUGACAAAUACGCAGAUGCUAACUCCAAAAACAAUGAUAACGGGGAAAUGAAGAUACCAUUUUUAAGUUUUCCUGGAAACUGGAGCGAGAGAAAGAAAAACACGGAGAGUGCUUUCUUAAGCAAUACUUGUUUUUUUCCCCCCAGAAGAAGGUCUUUCCUGAACUUGAAACAUUUGGGCUAGGUCUUCAUCCUCACCUGCACUGGAAUUACCUACUUAAAAAAACGAUUCACAAAGAAGCAUUUAUAAAUCAUGGGAAUGACACAAAAGUGUCACAAACCGCAGGCCAUCGGAAUUUAUCCCAAAAUACCAAGCCAGAGAAAUGA